AAAAAGGUAAGCUAAAUAAGCUAUUGGGUUCAUACCCCACUCAUGUAGGAACUAGCCUACCCUUUUUA
Molecule: transfer RNA, 68 nt
Filed under: Bostrichoidea sp. 7 KM-2017
Lineage: Eukaryota; Metazoa; Arthropoda; Insecta; Coleoptera
Description: tRNA-Met
Source: RNAcentral